RNAcentral lists this ribosomal RNA (253 nucleotides) under uncultured bacterium. Its description in RNAcentral is "partial 16S ribosomal RNA". It matches the Rfam family "Bacterial small subunit ribosomal RNA", at positions 524 to 776 of the family's 1533-position model. The record is from RNAcentral.
UACGUAGGGUGCGAGCGUUGUCCGGAAUUAUUGGGCGUAAAGAGCUUGUAGGCGGUUUGUCGCGUCUGCUGUGAAAAUCCGGGGCUCAACCCCGGACUUGCAGUGGGUACGGGCAGACUGGAGUGUGGUAGGGGAAACUGGAAUUUACGGUGUAGCAGUGAAAUGCGUAGAGAUCGUAAGGAAGACCAGUGGCGAAGGCGAGUUUCUGGACAGUAACUGACGCUGAGGCACGAAGGCCAGGGGAGCAAACGGG